This is a long non-coding RNA of Mustela lutreola (European mink), 988 nucleotides long. RefSeq lists it as uncharacterized. NCBI's taxonomy places the organism in Eukaryota, Metazoa, Chordata, Mammalia, Carnivora, Mustelidae. The transcript has 3 exons. The record is from RefSeq and is a predicted model, not a curated record.
AUUUCUGAGAAACUGUCACAGCCGAGAGGAGCCUAAGGAGACAUGAUGAUUAACUAAAAUGUCCUGAAUGGGAUCCUGGAACAGGACUUCAGUGAAUGUGCAUUAUCUUUAUAAUCAGAAAAGAUUAUUAAAGCCAUCAGAAAGGAUGAAUACCCAACUUUUGUAUCAACAUGGACAGGACUGGAGGAGAUUAUGCUGAGUGAAUUGAUGGAGAGCACCGGGCUCCGUGGCCACCCAUGUACAUUGUCACUGGUCUGUCGGCUCACCAUGUUGGCACGGGUGGCAGACCUGCAGCCCCUCUAGCACCUGCCAGAUGUCCUCUGUUCCCUUCCCUGAGUCUUAUGUUGAAGGGCACCAGCUUUUCUUCCCAACUGCUAAUCUAUCUGACCUAUGGUGACUUUGGGUCAACAUGAGACCCAGAAGCAACAACCUACACAGACCACCUCACCAGCACCCACAACUGCAUCGGAUCUAAUCUCUAUAGUAAAUUCUUUAUUCUGUGCCACUCAUGGCAGUUUUGUUUCUCUGAUUGAAGCCUGACUGAUAUUCUUGUCAGUGGAGGAUUUCAGGGUAUAGUGACAUUUUGGAGGAGAACUGGAAGACUUUCCAACACGCAUCCUACCCCAGAUAAUUCGUCUAAGCCAAACCAGGUGGUCCCACCCCUCUUGCCAGGGUUUGGUUCAGAGAUGGGAGAAUGAAGUCAAUUUAAGCUGGCAGAAUGCAAGGAGAAGCUUGCUUGGGAUUUCUGGAAGUAAAAAUUCAAUCUAUCUCAUCCAACUGGAAAUAAACACAAGAGUAUGCUGUAACAGUUGCUGUUGGCAUCCAUCAUGUGACCAUGUGGGGAACCAGCUUUAGAAUAAAGCUGAUACGAUUGAUAGCAAAGAGAAAAACCAAUAAAACCUAGGUCUGAAUGUAUCUUUGAGCUGUGGAAUCAAUAAAGUCUUCCCUCUUUCUGAACUUCCUUUUACAUGGGAUAAUAAAUUUCCCU